AAAGAUAUAUGGUUUCUAUGUGUAAGAAAUGAGGAUAUGAAGAUGUUGAUGUUGAUUUUAGGUGCAUUUAGGGCUUGCAAUUGGUUGUUCAUUGUGGUUUGUGUAUUGAUGACAAUGUUAUAAAUAAAAAAAGAAGAUGAAGAUGAUUGAGUUAAACAAGCAUUUUCAAACAAAAAGAGUCGUGACAUUAAACUAAAUUUUGUGGAAAUAUAUUUGGUAUUAAAAUUGUAAAAAGGUAAGAUUAUAAUUAUUUAGUAAUUAGAAUUUUCUU
Molecule: long non-coding RNA, 271 nt
Filed under: Brassica napus (rape)
Lineage: Eukaryota; Viridiplantae; Streptophyta; Magnoliopsida; Brassicales; Brassicaceae
Description: long non-coding RNA (BNAP_LNC022578)
Source: RNAcentral